UACAGAGGGUGCGAGCGUUAAUCGGAAUUACUGGGCGUAAAGGGUGUGUAGGUGGUAUUGUAAGUUAGAUGUGAAAUCCCCGGGCUCAACCUGGGAACUGCGUUUAAGACUGCAAAACUAGAGUACUGUAGAGGAUAGUGGAAUUUCCAGUGUAGCGGUGAAAUGCGUAGAUAUUGGAAGGAACACCAGUGGCGAAGGCGACUAUCUGGACAGAUACUGACACUGAGACACGAAAGCGUGGGGAGCAAACAGG
This 253-nucleotide ribosomal RNA is filed under the name uncultured bacterium. RNAcentral describes it as "partial 16S ribosomal RNA". It matches the Rfam family "Bacterial small subunit ribosomal RNA", at positions 524 to 776 of the family's 1533-position model. The record is from RNAcentral.